This 420-nucleotide long non-coding RNA is filed under the name Elaeis guineensis (African oil palm). RNAcentral describes it as "long non-coding RNA (EGUI_LNC050417)". The record is from RNAcentral. Lineage: Eukaryota; Viridiplantae; Streptophyta; Magnoliopsida; Arecales; Arecaceae.
UAUCAUAUCAAGACAAAUAAUAUAAUUUAAUAUGUACAUGAGAUCUGAAAAUAAAACUUACAUCGAUCUGAUCGAUGCUGCAAUUCUAGAUCUAACCUUUAGAUCUAAAAAAAAUGAUCAAAGAAGUUUAGAAAUUAUUACCAAACUGAAAACUCUUGAUUUCUGCUGGUCCAACACUUGGAUAGGUUCUUUUUCAGAUUGCUCGCAGCCACACAAAGUCGUCUGACCUCUACAGAACGUUCACAUGAAGACCGACGCAGAUCAAGCUCUUUGAAAGUGCUAGCUUGCAAGGAUUUUUGAGACUGAUUUCUUCCUUCUUCUUCAAAAGCCUUGGACGCUCCAAAGGAAGAGAAUAUCUGAAGGAGGAAGAGGAGAAGAGAAGGAGCUCUAGAGAAAAAAUAAACUUAGCAAGAGGAACCA